This 432-nucleotide ribosomal RNA is filed under the name Panulirus japonicus (Japanese spiny lobster). Its description in RNAcentral is "partial small subunit ribosomal RNA". It matches the Rfam family "Bacterial large subunit ribosomal RNA", at positions 1967 to 2597 of the family's 2925-position model. The record is from RNAcentral. Lineage: Eukaryota; Metazoa; Arthropoda; Malacostraca; Decapoda; Palinuridae.
AUUUGUCCAUUAAUUGAGGACUGGUAUGAACGGCUGAACAAGAAAUCAACUGUCUCUGCUAUAAAUUUUGAAAUUGACAUUUACGUGAAAAGGCUUAAUUGAGAUAGGGGGACGAUGAGACCCUAUAAAUCUUGAUGAUCAAAAUAAUGAUUUUUAUACAGUAGUUAUAAGUCUAAAGCUAAUAUUUUGAUUAUUUUGUUGGGGCGACAAAAGUAUAAUGAAUAACUGCCUUGAAGAAAUAGUUAAUUAUUUUUACUAUGUUUUGUUUGAGAUCAUUCUUUGAAGAUAUCAGAUCAAGUUACUUUAGGGAUAACAGCGUAAUCUUUCUUGAGAGUCCAUAUCGAAAGGAGGGGUUGCGACCUCGAUGUUGAAUUAAAGAACCUUUGUGGUGUAGCAGCUAUUUGAGGAGGUCUGUUCGACCUUUAAAUCUUU